CUUUAUAUGAAAUUUGCCUCUUGCCUUGUAAAAUUAGGGUCUGUAAGGUUAGGCUGCUGAUGAUAUGUCAAGCGUUGGCUGUGGAGAUGCUUGGCUGUUUUCACAGAAUUAGCCAUAAGUAUGCACUCCAAGACAUGGAAAUACGUCUCAAACUACCAUGACCGUCCUGUCACGAAGGCAAGGCUGUCACCACAUUGUUCACAAACGCUUGGCCCAGUGUAAUCUCAAGUGACAAAAGGGAAUAGGCUGUCACCACCCGCAUAGACAACGCUCCGUUGUGAUGGAACGAAUAGACUUUUAGGAGACAUCCUGAUACUCAAUAUAUGGUUUCCUUCCAAUAGCAUUGUCUGUUGCUUGCUCGUUUUAAACACAACUUAAUCGAUGCUGUGAAACUAAAUCCCAUUUUCU
This 408-nucleotide long non-coding RNA is filed under the name Equus caballus (horse). RNAcentral describes it as "lncRNA (ENSECAG00000051728.1)". The record is from RNAcentral. Lineage: Eukaryota; Metazoa; Chordata; Mammalia; Perissodactyla; Equidae.